This 492-nucleotide ribosomal RNA is filed under the name uncultured bacterium. RNAcentral's name for it is "partial 16S ribosomal RNA". It matches the Rfam family "Bacterial small subunit ribosomal RNA", at positions 29 to 507 of the family's 1533-position model. The record is from RNAcentral.
AGUGAACGCUGGCGGUAGGCCUAACACAUGCAAGUCGAACGGCAGCACAGUAAGAGCUUGCUCUUACGGGUGGCGAGUGGCGGACGGGUGAGGAAUACAUCGGAAUCUACUUUUUCGUGGGGGAUAACGUAGGGAAACUUACGCUAAUACCGCAUACGACCUACGGGUGAAAGCAGGGGAUCUUCGGACCUUGCGCGAUUGAAUGAGCCGAUGUCGGAUUAGCUAGUUGGCGGGGUAAAGGCCCACCAAGGCGACGAUCCGUAGCUGGUAUGAGAGGAUGAUUAGCCACACUGGAACUGAGACACGGUCCAGACUCCUACGGGAGGCAGCAGUGGGGAAUAUUGGACAAUGGGCGCAAGCCUGAUCCAGCCAUACCGCGUGGGUGAAGAAGGCCUUCGGGUUGUAAAGCCCUUUUGUUGGGAAAGAAAAGCAGCAGGUUAAUACCCCGCUGUUCUGACGGUACCCAAAGAAUAAGCACCGGCUAACUUCGUG